Molecule: small nuclear RNA, 19 nt
Filed under: Arabidopsis thaliana (thale cress)
Lineage: Eukaryota; Viridiplantae; Streptophyta; Magnoliopsida; Brassicales; Brassicaceae
Description: snRNA_13754
Source: RNAcentral
GGAUCUCAUGAAGGAGGUC